UCGCGGCUUAUCGCCGGCGGUCCCUUUAGAGUGCCCAACUAAAUGAUGGCAACUAAAGGAGAGGGUUGCGCUCGUUGCGGGACUUAACCCAACACCUCACGGCACGAGCUGACGACAGCCGUGCAGCACCUGUGCACGCUCCCUUGCGGGUCCUCGGUGUCUCCACCUCGUACCACGUGCAUGUCAAGCCUGGGUAAGGUUCUUCGCGUUGCGUCGAAUUAAACCACACGCUCCGCUGCUUGUGCGGGCCCCCGUCAAUUCCUUUGAGUUUUAAUCUUGCGACCGUACUCCCCAGGCGGAGAGCUUAAUGCGUUAGCUGCGCCACCGAACAGUAUACUGCCCGACGGCUAGCUCUCAUAGUUUACGGCGUGGACUAC
This 377-nucleotide unclassified non-coding RNA is filed under the name uncultured bacterium. Its description in RNAcentral is "contains 16S-23S intergenic spacer region". The record is from RNAcentral.